RNAcentral lists this ribosomal RNA (497 nucleotides) under uncultured bacterium. RNAcentral describes it as "partial 16S ribosomal RNA". It matches the Rfam family "Bacterial small subunit ribosomal RNA", at positions 28 to 507 of the family's 1533-position model. The record is from RNAcentral.
GAUGAACGCUGGCGGCGUGCCUAAUACAUGCAAGUCGAGCGAACAGACGAGGAGCUUGCUCCUCUGACGUUAGCGGCGGACGGGUGAGUAACACGUGGAUAACCUACCUAUAAGACUGGGAUAACUUCGGGAAACCGGAGCUAAUACCGGAUAAUAUAUUGAACCGCAUGGUUCAAUAGUGAAAGACGGCUUUGCUGUCACUUAUAGAUGGAUCCGCGCCGCAUUAGCUAGUUGGUAAGGUAACGGCUUACCAAGGCGACGAUGCGUAGCCGACCUGAGAGGGUGAUCGGCCACACUGGAACUGGGACACGGUCCAGACUCCUACGGGAGGCAGCAGUAGGGAAUCUUCCGCAAUGGGCGAAAGCCUGACGGAGCAACGCCGCGUGAAUGAUGAAGGUCUUCGGUUCGUAAAACUCUGUUAUUAGGGAAGAACAAAUGUGUAAGUAACUAUGCACGUCUUGACGGUACCUAAUCAGAAAGCCACGGCUAACUACGUG